RNAcentral lists this unclassified non-coding RNA (1668 nucleotides) under Homarus americanus (American lobster). Its description in RNAcentral is "probable cytochrome P450 301a1, mitochondrial, transcript variant X1". The record is from RNAcentral. Lineage: Eukaryota; Metazoa; Arthropoda; Malacostraca; Decapoda; Nephropidae.
GAUUAAGCUUGGGAUGAAGAUGCUGUCACAACGAAGUACCCUAUUAAAUAUCAUUGGACGAUUAGGUCACCGGGGUACAUCAACAGUUACAAGUAGAAGUACCUGAAGUUCCAGGACCCAAGUGUUAUCCUCUAAUUGGGUCCCUUUUCAACAUGAUCACUGAUAAAGAGAGCUCGUACCAUUAUUUCUUGAAACUCUUCAAAGUACAUGGCCCAAUCGUAAAGGUAAAGUACCCAGGUCAGCCUGUACUGGUGUUGAUCUCCCGGCCUGAAGAUGCUGAGAAAAUUCUAAAACUGACACAAGAUAAUCCAGUGAGAAAUGAAAUGGAAGCCCUCAAGAUGGCCAGAUAUAUUAACCCAUUUUAUGAAAAGAAAGCUGGAAUAGUGACAGAAAAUGGUGAGGAAUGGUGGCGAGUACGAAGCAAAGUCCAGGCACCAGUUUUGAAACCCAAAAAUGUUCAUAAUUAUCUCAAAGAUGUGGAUCAGGUGACACUAGACUUUUUAGACAGAAUUUCCACACUGAGAAAUAGUGAAGGGGAAGUAACUGUAGAUUUCUUAGAAGAAUUAAACAAAUGGUCCUUAGAGUGUAUAUGCCUUGUUGCCUUAAAUCAACGAGUUGGAUGCUUUGAUCCCAACCUGUCUCCUGAUUCAGAGCCAACAUUGAUAAUUAAGGCAGCUAUAGACUUCAUGAAUGCUUUCAAAGAGUGUGAAUCUGGCUUAAAGCUGUGGAAGAUAUUUCCUUCAAAGAUAUUCAGGCAGCUACAAGAUUCCAUGCAAAAACUAACAGAAACCUGUGAAACUGUUGUCCAAAGAAUGGAAAGUGAUAUGCAAAAAAGAGCUCAUGAUCCAGAUUGCCAGCUCAACUUGGUUGAGCAACUUCUACAAGAACCAGGCCUCUCCCAUAAAGAUGUUAUCACUUUUAUGGUGGAUCUUAUUCCGGGUGGUACAAAUACAACCUCUGAUAAUGCUGCUGUACUUCUUUAUCUCUUGGCUAAAAAUCCGAGAGUCCAAACCAAGGUGCAGGAAGAACUAGAUUACGUUUUAGGCAAUGGCUCCGGAAAUGUCACUGCACAUCAACUUGCUCAGCUCUCUUACACUAAAGCUGUUUUGAAGGAAUGCAAUAGACUAAUGCCACCAAUGUUUGGACCCAUGCGAAUCCUUCAAGAGGACAUACUUCUCGGACGAUAUAUUUUACAGAAAGGAUGGUCAGUGCUGCUGAUGAAUGCGUGUUCUGGCUGGGAUGAAAGACAGUUCCCACGAUGCAAUGAAUUUUUACCUGAACGAUGGUUACGGCAUCGACCUUUUGGAAAUAUACAUCCUUGUGCUUCUAUCCCUUUCUCUCAUGGCACUAGAAUGUGUGUAGGUCGACGCAUUGCUGAACAAGAGCUUUACACCUUGAUGGCUAGAACUCUUCACCGAUAUAAUCUUGAAUGGAAACAUGGUGAUAUGGAGAGGACUUUCAUGCAUGUGUUUUCUCCAAAAGGUCCCCUACGGUUUACAUUAACUGAACGUAAACGUAAACAAUGGUCCUCGCCUCAGGCUGCGAUUGGGCUGCGAUUGCUCUCACAGUAGUCCACCGAUUCUUGCAGGAGAAACAACACGCUGGUCAAACCCUAGACCCCAAAACGUUUUGACCGAAUUAUAUGGUACGAGUCAACGUUGAGGUUUU